Molecule: long non-coding RNA, 3534 nt
Filed under: Salvia miltiorrhiza (redroot sage)
Lineage: Eukaryota; Viridiplantae; Streptophyta; Magnoliopsida; Lamiales; Lamiaceae
Description: long non-coding RNA (SMIL_LNC008208)
Source: RNAcentral
GGACAUCAGGUGGGCAUUAUUUUUACUAUACGUAUAUAGAGAUCCCCUGCGUAUCGUAGGCCUCUUAUACGAAAUGAAGUAAAUGAUGUGAUUUAACUGUAAAUUUCAGUUUGAUGAAAAUUAUUACUGAUGAUGAUGUUUAUGAGUUUGAUAAAUAAUUUGAGAUUUAUUGAUGUUGAACUAAUUGACUUGCCGAGUUUUGAUGACGACGAGCCUGUAUGUCACCCUCUACUGAUGAGACGAAUUCGGAUCCUGCCACAAGCGGGAUUGUGUACACAGAGGUGAUCGUGAGCUGUCCUUUGGGUCGGCCGGUCACGGUACUUGAGAAGGAGGCCUACUUCUCAGUACCUUUAUGAUGAUGAUUUGUAGAUGUGGUACAUACAUAACGAGAAUUUUGACCGGUCAUUUAUUUAUGAUGUUUAUGAUUGUUAACUGCUUACACGGGUUCUUUUGAGUAAAAUCCCCGUGUAUUGCUUAUGUGGCAAGUUCAAUCUAUAGCUCUAAGAGCUAGUUUUCAUUGAUUUUCGGCUUAUGUCCACUGAGUAUUCUGUACUCAGCCCUGCAUGUAUUUCUAAACGUGCAGGAUAAGCGAGGAGGGAGAUUGGACUGGUGCUGGCAGGGAUUUUGUUUCAGAUAAUCUUCAUUAUACCGUAAUUAUAUUCCUUGCGGUAACAUCAAGAUGUUGAAGUUUAUUUUGAACUUAAUCAAGAAAUUUACUCUCGGCUAUAUGUCUUCAUACAUAUAGUCUUUUCGUAUUUUGCUGCGAUACUCUGUAUAUCCCGAGUCAUUGUGAGUAAUUAGCUAUGUCUACUUUGUAAAGGUUGACAAGAAUCUCAAUAAUUUAAAAGUUAUAAAGCCAAUAAUAUUUUUAUUGAUGAUGAUGUCAUCUUUCUUGAUUUAUCACGUUUCAGUGAUUGCUUCCGCUUGACGUGCAAUCUAGUUUUGUCUUUUGACCUUAUUAAUAUAUUUAGUCGUAUCGAUACCCGGUUUACGCUAUCACUGGCUAGGCGUCGGGCUGCGACAUAUUCUUAUUUUACUUUUAAUAUGUGUUUCUUGAUUGUGCAAAGAAUUUGAGUUUUAUUGCAACACGAUUGUAAGUAUGUAAAACGUGAUUUGUCCGGUAGAUGCUAGAAGGAGUGUUGUCAUUGUGAUUGCCUACGAUCGUAUCCUUAUCUGUGAAUAAUGCUGGACGAAUUGCCAUUUCUAAAAAUGUCAGCUCUGAAACAUAUGGCCAGCUCUGAAACGUGACAGCUCUGAGUCUCUGCUCCUCUGGUCUAACUAUGAGCAUGGGAAACCACGUGAAAAGACUUUGGAUUACAUCCAAAUGGUUUUUAUUUCAUGAAUUAUGGCUCAACUGUCCAAAAACUUAAGCACACAAAGUGUAAAAAAAAUGGUGAUAUUGAUUAUAAAGGCGAUCACAUUAGGGAAUUCACUUCUAGCGGAGAAUUGGGUAUGAUCGAAUUACUUGCAUUACUGUUUUGUUGCUUCGUAAACUUUAAGUUACUUGCAUGAUCAAGAGAUGUGUGUUGAUUGUAAAAUUUUGAAUUGACUUUGUGAAUGUUUGGAUGGAAAUAAGCAUCGUUGAAAUCAAUCUCUUCCUAAGAUUCAUAUUGAUUUUGCUUGAGGACAAGCUGAUUUAUGCUUAAUUGUUCUAAAUUUUGGGGUUUGCAUGUACUUUUUAAGUUAAAUCUUCUGAAAUGGUGCGUUUUAUGGUUAUUUUAUGCUUUUCGGAGAUUUAGUUUCGAGAUGAAAGUGCAAAUUUUGGAGAUUUGGGCUAAGAAUUACGUUUUUGUGCAUGCUCUGGCACGUCAGAGAAGUGAAGCCCCGCAUGCCAGAGCAGCGAAAAGGGAAGCCAGAGAAAUGCUCCAGAUCCAGAGAAGUCAUUCGCCAGAGCAGCGAAAUCACUAGUCAGAGAAGUCAUAAGCCAGGCCAGAGAAAUCAAUAUCCAGUGCAGCGAAAUCGAAAACGCCAGAGGAAUAUAAGCGCCAGCGGAAUCGCCAUCAGAGAAACCGGAGCCAGAGCGGAACCGUUCCUGGCGAGAGCCCGAUUUCCGCCAGGGUGGAGAUUAUUUCAGAGCGCGCGACACAGCUGGAAGUUGCCUUUCUUCACGAUUCUAUUGCCUUUAGAGUUCUACUUUGCAUGGCAACUUCCAUGGUGAUCCAUAGGGAUUCGAAGUCUAUAAAUAGGGCCAUACUUUUCAUUGUAAGAUCAUCGCUUGCCCUAGUUUUAGACGCCAUCUUUGCGAUCUGUUGGCAUCCGAAGCUUAGGAUUUACUUGCUUUCAUAGUUCUUUAUAGUUUUCAGAUUCAUUGUUUUAAGUUAGAUUUCAAUUCAGUUUUUAGUUUAUUCUUGGAUUGUGAUUGAGUGACACAAUUACAUGUUCAAGACGUUUACGGUAUUUCGUAUUUCAAUUCAAUUUAUUUCGUUUAAUCAUGUUUACGUUUUUCAUUCAAGUUCAUGCUUUCUUUUUAAUUAUGCAAUUUAAAUUAUGCACUUUAGUUUCACGCCUAGAUUAGAAGUCUUUAAAUUUACAAGUAUUUAAUUUCUUAAGUUAGGUUUAAUUUGAGUUGUUUAAAUUCUUGCCUAGGUUAAGUUUAAAUUCAAGUCAAGUUUAAUUUAAGUUUAAGUUUCAGUUUUUAAAUCAAAAUCUUUACUGCUUCCUUUUAUUGCUUUUUCCUACGAUACUACUAAGAGCCCUUAAAGACUUUCCUUGAGAGAUGACAUUGGGUCAACUUACCAUCACUAGGAUGUCCUUGUUCUAUUGCAAGUCAACUUAGAGGUGUUUCUAGUUGAGUCACAAGCAAAAGGCUAAGUGUGGGGGGUUGAUCAUGUGCAUAUUUAAGUUGAAUCUUCUGGAAAUUUGUGCGUUUUAUGGUUUGUUUUAUGCUUUGCAGGAGAUUUAGGUUUUAUAGAUGGAAGAGUGUAAUUUUGGAGAUUUUGGGUUUAGAAUGGCGUUUUUAAGAACACUCUGGUGUACAGAGCUGAAAAGCCCACGCCAGAGCUGAAAAGCCGCGCCAGAGCUGAAAAGCCCGCUGCAGAGCAGAGCAGAGAAGCUCGCCAGAGCAGAGCNUAGUUUUUAUUGAUUUUCGGCAUAUGUCCACUGAGUAUUCUGUACUCAGCCCUGCAUGUAUUUCUAAACGUGCAGGAUAAGCGAGGAGGGAGAUUGGACUGGUGCUGGCAGAGAUUUUGUUUCGGAUGAUCGUCAUUAUACCGUAAUUAUAUUCCUUGCGGUAACAUCAAGAUGUUGAGGUUUAUUUUGAACUUAAUCAAGAAAUUUACUCCCGGCUAUAUGUCUUCAUACAUAUAGUCUGUUCGCAUUUUGCUGCGAUACUCUGUAUAUCCCGAGUCAUUGUGAGUAAUUAGCUAUGUCUACUUUGUAAAGGUUGACAAGAAUCUCGAUGAUUUAAAAGUUAUAAAGCCAAUAAUAUUUUUAUUGAUGAUGAUGUCAUCUUUCUUGGUUUAUCACGUUUCAGUGAUUGCUUCCGCUUGACGUUCGAUCUAGUUUUCUCUUUUUACCUUAUUAAUUUAUUUAGUC